RNAcentral lists this ribosomal RNA (834 nucleotides) under uncultured bacterium. RNAcentral's name for it is "bacterial SSU rRNA". It matches the Rfam family "Bacterial small subunit ribosomal RNA", at positions 51 to 878 of the family's 1533-position model. The record is from RNAcentral.
ACACAUGCAAGUCGAGGGGCAGCAUCAUCAAAGCUUGCUUUGAUGGAUGGCGACCGGCGCACGGGUGAGUAACACGUAUCCAACCUGCCGACAACACUGGGAUAGCCUUGCGAAAGAAAGAUUAAUACCGGAUGGCAUAAUUAUUCCGCAUGGGAUAAUUAUUAAAGAAUUUCGGUUGUCGAUGGGGAUGCGUUCCAUUAGGCAGUUGGCGGGGUAACGGCCCACCAAACCUACGAUGGAUAGGGGUUCUGAGAGGAAGGUCCCCCACAUUGGAACUGAGACACGGUCCAAACUCCUACGGGAGGCAGCAGUGAGGAAUAUUGGUCAAUGGACGAGAGUCUGAACCAGCCAAGUAGCGUGAAGGAUGACUGCCCUAUGGGUUGUAAACUUCUUUUAUACGGGAAUAAAGUGAGCCACGUGUGGCUUUUUGUAUGUACCGUAUGAAUAAGGAUCGGCUAACUCCGUGCCAGCAGCCGCGGUAAUACGGAGGAUCCGAGCGUUAUCCGGAUUUAUUGGGUUUAAAGGGAGCGUAGGCGGGUUGUUAAGUCAGUUGUGAAAGUUUGCGGCUCAACCGUAAAAUUGCAGUUGAUACUGGCGACCUUGAGUGCAACAGAGGUAGGCGGAAUUCGUGGUGUAGCGGUGAAAUGCUUAGAUAUCACGAAGAACUCCGAUUGCGAAGGCAGCUUACUGGAUUGUAACUGACGCUGAUGCUCGAAAGUGUGGGUAUCAAACAGGAUUAGAUACCCUGGUAGUCCACACAGUAAACGAUGAAUACUCGCUGUUGGCGAUAUACAGUCAGCGGCCAAGCGAAAGCAUUAAGUAUUCCACCUGGGG